Tachysurus fulvidraco (yellow catfish) is the source of this 741-nucleotide long non-coding RNA. RefSeq lists it as uncharacterized. The record is from RefSeq and is a predicted model, not a curated record. Lineage: Eukaryota; Metazoa; Chordata; Actinopteri; Siluriformes; Bagridae. The transcript has 3 exons.
CUUGUCCAUUCUAGAUGCAAUCAAAGCAUGAAGAGAUUAUGUAUCAUUUAAUAUCAUUACGUUUCUUACGGUGAGAUGGAAAAACGGCAGCUCUGUAUUAUUAUCUGCAUGAGCUUUACACCAGGGACUGGAGUCCGUUGGCGAAGGGCUUUGCUGCCCCCCAGGACUCCAGGUAUUGAGUCAUACGCACAGACGCUCGCAUCUUCGCCCCGUAGAGAACCGGACGAGGACGGCAGUGAAGAUGCGGGCUGCGUCUUUCUCCCUGGGUACGAGUCUCGGACCUGUCCGUCUCCCGCCUCCACUUUGUAGGCCCCUUUUAAAUGUUCCAGCGUCACAGAGGAGAUGUGAACUCGGCUGGGGAGGACAAAUAGGACAUGACAGAGCACUUCAAUAUCAACACCCGGAAACAUUACGUCCUCUCAUGCAGCCCUCACAGAGGAUGGUAUAUACAGUAUAUAUAAAAUACAAACAAGGCAGUGAGGUAAUGAAAGACCCAGGGCAGUGUACAUUGUCUUGUUGCUGAAUAAAAACUCAUUAGCCACAAGCACCUUUCACAGCGCUCUCCACAGUGUGUUUGGCUGAACAUGAAGAGCCCUUGUUAGAUUUCGCACUGUUGAUCACAGAUGUAAAAACACAUGCACAAAGAAAGGGAUCACGACAAAAAACCCCCAAAACACACACACACACACACACACACACACACACACACACACACACACACACACACACACACACACACAC